This 1227-nucleotide long non-coding RNA is filed under the name Callithrix jacchus (white-tufted-ear marmoset). RNAcentral's name for it is "lncRNA (ENSCJAG00000080630.1)". The record is from RNAcentral. Lineage: Eukaryota; Metazoa; Chordata; Mammalia; Primates; Cebidae.
GCCAAAAAUAAUCUGUGGAUUUGUUUUAGAUGAGUCUAUCUACUAUAGCUGUUAAGAGUGCAGGCUCAAAAGAAAACAUAAAAACAAACAAAAACAAAGAAAAAAGAAAAGAAAAGAAAAAAAGAAAGAAAGAGUGCAGGCUCAGACCGAGCAUGGUGGCUCACACCUGUAGUCCCAGCUACUUGGGUGGCUGAAGCAGGAGAAUCACUUGAACCCAGGAGGUAGAGGUCGCAGUGAGCUAAGAUUGCACCACUGCACUCCAGCCUGAAGGGCAGAGCAAGGCUUUGUCUAAAAAAAAAAUGCAGGCUCUGAACACAGAUCAGCUUCCAAUCCAAGCUUCAUUUCUAUAUUCACUAGCUGGAAGCUCAGUCUAGUUACCAGUAACCUCUGUAAUCAUCUACUGCUACCUGCAAAAUGAGGUUUAUGUUUACAGUUAUCUUGUGGGUCUGCCAGGAGGAUAAACUGAGGUGCCACAGGGAAACUGUCUAGUACCAUGUAGUAAGCAUCUGCUAUGGAUUGAAUAUGUACCCUAAAGUCCAUAUGUUAGAAACUUUAUCACUGAUGCAACAGUAUAAAGAGGAAGAAGCUUUAAGAGGUGAUUAGGUCAUGACAGCUCUGCUGUCAUAAAAGGAUUAUGUGGUUAUCUGAGGAGGGGGUUAGUUAUCCCAGGAGUGGGUUCCUCAUAAAAAGGAUGAGUGUCUCCUGAAUUUCUCUCUCUCUUGUGCUCACCUGCCUUUCUACCAUGUUAUGAUGCAGCACAAAGACCCUCUCCAGCUGCUGGUACUAUGCUCUUGGACUUCCCAGUCUCCAGAACUUCUUAUUAUUUGGAGCAUUCUCAAAUUGUUUGCCAAAACCGGUGACAUAACUGGCUCCCUCCGACAGAACCUGCCAAACCUGCAGAGAUUCCCACAGUGGCCAGCUCCUUCUGUCUCAAGGCUUCGGAGGAGCACCAGCUUCUGUGAUGGAAGAGCCUUGUUAUAGAAGGGAGUGAAGCAGCUGUGAGCGAGAAGGUCAUUUGGUCUCACUUCUUAUCUAUAGCAGACUAGUACCUUGAUAUGUGAGUAGAGGGUAAUCUUUAUCAAAUGCAAAAAAUGGCUUUAUUGUUUUAUUAAAAAUUAUAAUGUUCACUGAAAAAUGUCCUACAAAUACAAUAAAUAACAAAGAAGAAAGUAAAACACACAAAAAAAGCACUCCCCCCACAAUUUCACUGUAUCUGUGCAGGGUUCU